Molecule: long non-coding RNA, 532 nt
Organism: Juglans microcarpa x Juglans regia
Lineage: Eukaryota; Viridiplantae; Streptophyta; Magnoliopsida; Fagales; Juglandaceae
Exons: 3
Source: RefSeq, a predicted model, not a curated record
UUCUCUCUAUUUCUCUGUUUCUCGUAUUUGUUCUUUGUCCCGGUUUGUAGUAUGGUUAUUCUCAAUUCUCUUUUUGUUCUCUGUGGUGUGGAUCUGAGCAACUCUUUAGAUUUUUUUUUUUUAUUCUUCUCGAUUCCUUUUUUGUUCUCUCUAUGGUGUGGAUAUGCUACUAUUAGUUGUGCUGGUAGUAGUGUUGUUAUUUUUGUGUUUAUUUUCGUUGUUGAUUUUCUGCUUCUGUUUUAUAAUAUUUUUAAGAUUAGUGGAUUUAAUAUUAGGUGUUCUGGCAAGUUGAAUUUACUUAAGAUUAGUGGAUUUAUUAGUGUUUAUAUAUAUUUUAUUUUCUUUAAACUAAGAUCAACUUUUACACACUUAUGUAACUAUCAAAUGUAGAAUUGGCUCUUAUAUUCAAAGGUGAAGGCCAACGUAUUUACAUUGAUUUAUUUCUAAUGAGAAUGUUGGCUCCUAUGUCAUAUGUGCAUAAGAAAUGAGGCUGAAGUGAAUAAGAGUUGGUAGAUUUUUCAGUUUGUAAAUC